GGCGGGAGGGGUUGCGGUGGUUCGCGCUCUUUGUCAGCGCGUGCGCGAAGCGGCAUGAAGCCUUCUGGGCGUUCCGAGCGAGGCGCUGCAUUUCCGCGUGUCGUUCUUAUCCCAGAGGAGGAAAAGAGCUGAAGAUAGAGAGAGAGAAAAAUGGAGGACACAGCAGGAUUUCAGCAUUGUUAAAACCUGAGGUACUGGGACAUAUACAUGCAGCCCAGGGUGAAGACAGCCAUGAAGCACACACAUCCUACAGAAUGACUGCGAUAUGGACUACAGUUCUUCACACUGACAGCAUGAGAAGAAAGAAGAAACAGUGAUGAAUUCACUCUGUGUAUUAAGGAUCUCUACCACAUUCCCCCAUUAACCCCUGCCUUACAUCCUCAUCCUGCACCUCUGCAAGCUCACUUGUUAGUGCAGUAUCAUGGCUUAUCUUUAGUGCCUCAACUCAGGGUGUGGUUGGAGGCAGCUGGGUGCUCCUUCCGUAUAAUAAGUGUCCUAGCUCGGGCUGAAGGGGCAAACCCGCUCUCUCUGGACUCUGUAUCCAUGUGAGCAGAAUGACAAAACAUUUGUUGUAAAAGUUUGCGAAGAACUGCUGCAGAGUUAUUUGGAGUCUGAUAAGACUGACUGGGAACAAAAAACCUCACUGACACAGCACAAGAAUUAAUCAUCUUGAAUCACAAUAAUUUGUCAUAGAAAAAAAAUAUACUAAGAUCAAAGGCAAUUUUACAGGAGUGAUUAUUCGGACAGAUGUGGCAUGUGGAGCUGUAGGUAUUAUAGCACACAGCAUGGAAGCGCCAGCCUAUGCAAAAUGUGCAUGCUGCUAUCAGAAGGGUAUGCACUAAAAAGUAAAACAUUCAGAUGAAUUUUUCAACCAAGUGGUAGACAGCAUUGCAGCCGAUGGCAAGUGUUUACCUGACAGAAAAAGGAGUAUGUGCUACUUCAUGUUGGACAGUGAUGCCCAAACCAGUGCAGUACAAGAAUCGUAAGUCAAUUCACAAUGACAGAAAAGCCAAAAGAAGAAGACAGAAGCCCAUUACUUGGUAUAACUAUGUUCUACAGCUUCCUCAGGAGAAUGUCUUCAUCAGGGAAGCAAAGGAGAAAAACAACUUAAGAAAAAUCUCAGGAUUUUCCAUAGCAUAGUGACAAAUUGCACCUUUUUCAGUUUGUUAGCUAUUAUAUAUAUCUCUGGUAGGGAAAGGAUCAGUGGUACAUAUUUAUCUUUCUCCACUUAUCCUAGGAUGAAAGUCUGUAGAAAAGUACGUGUGCCUUUUAGCACAAAGUGGCUGGUGCUGUAUAUUCCCUGCAUCUGAUGCCAGUAUAGAGGAAAAAAUUACAUGGGACAUUGUUUAAAAAGAAUGGAAAGAUGAUUUACAACAUGUUGAAUAAAAAUACUGAGAAGAACGUGAGAUGGUUAGCUAGGCAUGCAUAAACCCUCGAGAAAGGUAUGAAGAUAUGCUGCAUUGCCUGAAAAUGGAAGGCGACAUGGGAAAAUCUACGACUCUUCACAGGUGCCAGAAUGAAACUAAAUCAAGCAAAACUUCAGAAGACAGAGGUUCCUCAAAAGCAAAGCAGGCUUUGCUUUACAUAGGCUUGAAAAACAAAACCACAUACCCUAUGCUAUUUUUCUUUCUUUGCUGAGCUAACCUAAAUAGAAGAUAUUACAGAUGAGUGUACGGGUCAAAAGCAUUGGAUAAGUUGGGAUGCAGCUGACACAACCAUAAGUGACAGAGACAUUAUUUAGCUUAAGUAGUUUGCAGUUAAGUAUAGACUUAGACAUAAUCUUGCCAAUGGAACAGUUCCCACCCUAAUAUGUGAGUAAGAAACGGUGCCAGAUUAAUAAAGUUUAUUGAAGAGAAGCCAGAGCCAGAGCCUGAUCCACAUUUAGAACAACCAAGUUUGAGAGCAGCAUCAGUGAUGCAUGGAGCUGUCACCUGAGGACGUUUUUUCCUAUGGAAAACUGAAAUUCAGAAUAGCUGCAUUAUUAGACACCAGAGACUUGUAGAAAUGGAGGGUGAGACAGCAAGGCAGACUCCUCGGUUAAACUCACUGUUCUCAAAUCCAUUUCCUCUGAGAAUAAGGAUCAGAGUUGAUAUCAAACUUCACGGGGAUUUUGAGCCUCCUGGCAGUUACAAAUGUGUGAUUUUAAGAGUAACUGCUGCGUAAGUAAUCCGUUCAUGUUCUUCCUGCAGCAUGCACUCCAUGCCCACUGCAGACCAUCAGCACAUACUGCUCAUAAUCCCCAUCCCAGUCCAUUCUUUUCACUUCGGCACGUGUGAAAGACGCAAGGAUUUUAUGUUAUGGAAAUAAGGUAAAAUCCAGCCUUUCAUUUCUGUUGGAAUGCAGCUGGCCAACCUCCCUUACCCUCCCUUUACCAGGGUAAAGGGGCUAUGAACUUUGCAGAGGUUUACAAGAGGCACCUGACAUCCCAUCAGUCUGCUGCAAGCGCAAUGCUUUUAUUUUGAGACUACUGGAGAUGAAAUCUGGGAAUCUUCUGUGUGCCAAAGUCUUCCUGUAGAAUAUGGAGCUCCAUCAAAAUUGAGCUGGUGUGAAACUGCCCUGAGCCUACAAGUGCCUGCAGUACAAGUGCCUGCUGUACCACCACUCUCAUCUCUGAAACCAGUUUCUCCAUCACCCCACAACUGAUGCAGAAGUUGCUGUAGUCAGGCAACACAUUGCCACAGCAGCACCCUGGGAACAGAGGAGCAGUUAUUUUCACCACAGCUUUCCUAUUUGGUUUAGCUCUGUCAGGCAAGGAAAGCACGUGCCACUUUCCAGCAAGAACUCAUUCAGCUUGAGCAUCUCCGUAUGAAACAACUAAUGGAACAGAAAGGCAAUGAGAAGAAAUCCACCAAGGAGCUACUUAUCCAAUUAGAAAAGGAGCUCUAGACAGACAACAGCUGGCGAUGUUUAUUUCAUAGAAGUGGACACAAAGCAGACUACUGGGAAGUGAAGCUGCAGUCCUGCAAAGCGUGCUUAUUAAUGCCACAGGAGAGAGGCAGCAAUUCAAAAUCUGUUUUUCAGGACCGUCAGCUAAACUAACGUGAACAGAGAUGCACGUGUGGUAAAGCAUCCUUCCUGCCACUCCAUCAGACUGCGAAUCAUUUAAGAUUUAUCACUGCUGAUGAGAGAUACCUGACCUCACAUAACUCUGCACAGAACUUUGUUGUAACAGUUGCAGUUAAAUAAAGUGUUACUUCUCUUAAGUCUUAAAUAAAAGAACAGUGGAAAACACUGGUAAGAAAUAAGCCUUACCCCUCAUACUGACCUGUUCGAGCGUCUUGCCAGCCCACCCAAUGGCCUUCAUCUUCCUUCUUAUCUCCCAUUGCUUCUGAUAGGACAGAAUGCGGUUAAGAGGCCAGGGGUAAGGAGAGCCAUAUCUUGGGUGAGUAAUCUUUGUUAAGAAACAGAAAGUUACUUUGUUACAAUCUAAAAAUGCAGGCAGCUCUAUUUACAAAACAGCUAAGAGAGCAAUAAAGAAAAAGAAUGUUGUGUGAUACGUUGCAAUUAUUUGUGCAGAAUUUAUUGUUUUCAGUAUAACCAUUUGAAAUUAUUACCUUGGAAACAUAUGCAAAACUCAUAUUUGUUCUGCAGUCACAUACCUCCAGUAAAGUUACAACUUCCCUGAAAUGUAUACGCAAGCAGAAUUCAAGUGAGAAGACUGUAUCAUUAACGGAGCUCAAUGUUUCAUUUAUGAGUAGGGACUUCCAUUUGUGAGCAAAAGUGUUUUCUCAUUAAAUUUUAAUUAAGAUAAAUGUUGCAGAACCACUCACCUCCUCUACUGUAACAUCAUCACACCACUGCAGAUAGAGCUAGGAACAGAAAGAGCACUUACUACAACUUCCUAAUAAACGAGAAUACAGAUACAAUCAUUUCUCACUAGUAGAAUUUUCCUUUCUAUAUUAGAUUAAAUUUCCAUUUGGUGCCUUCUAUUAGACUUCUGAACACAGUGAAGAAAUUAAAACCAGAGUCACAAGCCCAGCUCCAAGUUGCUGGCUCGCAAGCAGCGGAACCAAGCUGGAGCCGAAGGCCUGCUGCAGUUGCCUGUGCCACACACAGCUCAACACCCAGGUUCCCUCAGCCAUGUGCCUGCGAGCAUUUCCAGCACCGGCCCCACGGCCCCACAUCACAUUAACAGGCCACGGGCACGACCCGCAGGGCAGGCCAGCUCCAGCAAGGCACAGCAGCUGUGUGGAAGGCGGCAGUGGGGCUGCACAGCCAGCCAGGACUGCUGGCGUUUUCCAUCCGUGCAAAUCAGGCACUUCUACAGCUACAGGGCGUGCUUCAGACAGGUAAAUGGAGCUGUACACAUGGCUUGUGUCUGCAGGAAUAUGUCAUCAAGUAGUCCACAGGAUCCACGGAAUUUAUUCCUGUCUCAUUUCACCAUAAAAACUGAUGACCUGAUCUAAGAUUUUAAUCUAAGAACAAACAGUACUUCCAGAACAAGAAAAUAUCAUGAAGCAUUCUUGCCUAUAAUCCCUUAUGGAAGUAUGAGCAGUUACUAUGGUUUGCUGUACCUCCGCUGUCAGGAGCAUAUUAUUGACUAAUUCCAUGUAGGCUUUCAUCUCAGCUUUUUGGACUUCAUCCAACCCAUCGCUGAGAGAAUGGCCCUAAUGGGGAAAGAAAGAGACACGUAAGAGAGGAUAUUGGAAUAUUCAGCAGUGCCUGACCCAAAGACCUCAGAAGUCAAUGAGCUUUGGUUCAGAUACUGAUCUGUCACACAACACGUCACAAGUUACACACGUACUUUCUACAUAAAGUGCCCUUUAGAAUGAAAAAGAAAUAAUCGUAAUGUAACAGAACUGAUCUGCAAUAAAUGUAGUUAUUACCAGUUAGAGGUGAGCACACAGCCUGUGUCUAGAAGCAAACACAGAUUUACAUCUGUGCUACAGCUUUAUGAAGUGCUCAGUGAGAAGACAAUGUUGUUGAAAAUACAACUUCAAAAUUUACACCAGUGAUUUCUGGGUUUAAAAAUUCAGAGACAGAGACGUAGAAAACCAGCUGCAGAAACUGGCAGUGGCACGCACGUGUCCUGCACAGAAUUUGCUUCCUGAAUUUGAGGUAAUGUUAAAUUGAAACAUUUCCACCUCGGCACUCUCACUUCAGAGAGUCUUUCUUUUGAACCAGCACCAGAUUGCUGCACCGUUGUAACAAUGAAGUAACAUUCCAGCAGAGCACAGCAACUGCACAGCAGUGCUAAAGAAGACUGGUACACAACCCAGUAAUAGAUGCAGACUGUGUGUAAUUACCUUGGCUUUCACAAACUGGACUAUGGGCCCGAGUUCAGAUACUACUUGGUUUCCCACAUGAAUAAAGGGCACUUUGCCUGUAAAAUGAGAAAUGUAUUUUAUUAGGAGCUUUUUAUACAUGUCAACUAUCAUUUCCUAUUUUCAGUGCAAUUAAAUAUCACAAGUACGCCUGAA
Molecule: long non-coding RNA, 5420 nt
Organism: Tympanuchus pallidicinctus (lesser prairie-chicken)
Lineage: Eukaryota; Metazoa; Chordata; Aves; Galliformes; Phasianidae
Exons: 9
Source: RefSeq, a predicted model, not a curated record